GUCGAGAAUCUUUCACAAUGGGGGCAACCCUGAUGGAGCGACGCCGCGUGGAGGAUAAGGUCUUCGGAUUGUAAACUCCUGUCAUGCGUGAACAAGGUUGCUUGGAUAAUACCUGAGCAAAUUGAUGGUAGCGCAAGAGGAAGAGACGGCUAACUCUGUGCCAGCAGCCGCGGUAAUACAGAGGUCUCAAGCGUUGUUCGGAAUCACUGGGCGUAAAGGGUGCGUAGGUGGCGUGGUAAGUCAGAUGUGAAAGCCCGGGGCUCAACCUCGGAACUGCAUCCGAUACUGCCAUGCUAGAGUACUGGAGAGGUGACUAGAAUUCUCGGUGUAGCAGUGAAAUGCGUAGAUAUCGAGAGGAAUACCAAAGGCGUAGGCAGGUCACUGGACAGUUACUGACACUGAGGCACGAAGGCCAGGGGAGCGAACGGGAUUAGAAACCCCAGUAGUCC
This 449-nucleotide ribosomal RNA is filed under the name uncultured bacterium. Its description in RNAcentral is "partial 16S ribosomal RNA". It matches the Rfam family "Bacterial small subunit ribosomal RNA", at positions 354 to 796 of the family's 1533-position model. The record is from RNAcentral.